Molecule: non-coding RNA, 72 nt
Organism: Ditylenchus destructor
Lineage: Eukaryota; Metazoa; Nematoda; Chromadorea; Rhabditida; Anguinidae
Source: the annotation of a GenBank genome assembly
GCCCAAGUAGUAUAGCGAUUAGUACUCCACGUUGUGGCCGUGGCGACCCCUGUUUGACUCAGGGCUUGGGCA